Molecule: ribosomal RNA, 358 nt
Filed under: uncultured bacterium
Lineage: Bacteria
Description: bacterial SSU rRNA
Rfam family: Bacterial small subunit ribosomal RNA
Source: RNAcentral
AGAGUUUGAUCAUGGCUCAGGAUGAACGCUGGCGGCGUGCCUAACACAUGCAAGUCGAGCGAAGCGCCUGGAAGUUUUCGGACAGAAGGGCGACUGAGCGGCGGACGGGUGAGUAACGCGUGGGUAAUCUGCCUCAUACAGGGGAAUAACAGCUAGGAAAUGGCUGCUAAUGCCGCAUAAGCGCACAGGACCGCAUGGUCUGGUGUGAAAAACUCCGGUGGUAUGAGAUGAACCCGCGUCUGAUUAGUUAGUUGGCAGGGUAACGGCCUACCAAGACGACGAUCAGUAGCCGGCCUGGAGAGGGUGGACGGCCACCAUUGGGACUGAGACACGGCCCAGACUCCUACGGGAGGCAGCA